AUGGUAAAUCAAAACCAAAAGAACAAACAACUUGUGCUUUUUCAAAACAAAAACAAAAAAGCACAACACCCCGUAAAUUUCACUACCUAUAAAAACCAUACCCAUAACCAUAACCAUAACAACCAUAACUUCAUUUCUCGAUCUUCUAACAACUCAAUCUUGUUCUCACAGAAUUUUGUUGAUUUGAAUAAAGAUGUCUGGGCGUGGAAAGGGAGGAAAAGGAUUGGGAAAGGGAGGAGCAAAACGACACCCGAUUCAACUUGUCAUCAUGGGCUCCUAAGAUACCAUGAAACACGGGGAUGUUUGCAAGGUAGAUAUAAGCUGAACAUUGAGUCUCCUUGCCUGCGAGGAGCAUCUAAAAUGGGGACGGAUAAUCAUUGA
This is a non-coding RNA of Vicia faba (fava bean), 381 nucleotides long. The record is from the annotation of a GenBank genome assembly. Lineage: Eukaryota; Viridiplantae; Streptophyta; Magnoliopsida; Fabales; Fabaceae.